This is a long non-coding RNA of Schistocerca piceifrons (Central American locust), 781 nucleotides long. RefSeq lists it as uncharacterized. Lineage: Eukaryota; Metazoa; Arthropoda; Insecta; Orthoptera; Acrididae. The record is from RefSeq and is a predicted model, not a curated record. The transcript has 3 exons.
AGGUGACUGGCAGCAGCCACAGUCCAGCGACAGACGUUCGUCUCGGCGCAACGGCCGGCUUCAUACUUUAAGUGACUCCAAAGACCGCCAUCUGGCAGUAAACUGAACAGAGCAAUGGCAGCAACAGCGAAGCACAGUUUCGUGAAUGAGCUGGGCCACAGUCCUACACGAAAGCCUGGGAUGGUCCGCCGCGGCUCAGUGAUUUUCCAGCAGUCUGGGGAACGCCACACCCACACGCAGGACGUGGGCUGGGGGGUGCGGCCCAUCACCAUCAUCGUACCCACCAGCAGCAAUCCGAGGCCCAGCGGGCGCAUCAUCCUCUUCAACCAGUGUUCGCCGCAGGGUCCACAGUCCGAAUGUUGAUGCGAAUCACGAUAGGCAGGGUUUCUCGACGAGCACAAGCGACAGGAGAUGCGAUGAUGCAGACCACUUCUUGGGAGGACUACCAGACUGAUCAAGCUGAGCAGUGUGCUGUAUAAGUUGAGACAACUCAUUCAUGUUCAAAGGCAUGAGACCUCAAAUAUCCGUUUGGUUACCCAAAUUAGAUUUCCUGCCGUUUCACUAUGCCACUCCUGGCGGAUAAGUACGACUCUGCCUUUUUUCUCCCCCAUCUUUCUCAAAUGUUAUCUUGUGCUCCGUCUACCAUGGCCUCAACACUGAGGGGAUGUUCAGUUUGCUGUUCACUUGUCUUUUAUGGACUGGCUGUCACGAUGCUUUCAAAAGCCCGAUGUUCUGACCAACGAGAAGUUACCAUUAAACACUUUUCUAGCGAGAAGAUUAA